RNAcentral lists this ribosomal RNA (468 nucleotides) under uncultured bacterium. RNAcentral describes it as "partial 16S ribosomal RNA". It matches the Rfam family "Bacterial small subunit ribosomal RNA", at positions 28 to 507 of the family's 1533-position model. The record is from RNAcentral.
GAUGAACGCUGGCGGCGUGCUUAACACAUGCAAGUCGAACGGAAAGGCCCAAGCUUGCUUGGGUACUCGAGUGGCGAACGGGUGAGUAACACGUGGGUGAUCUGCCCUGCACUUCGGGAUAAGCCUGGGAAACUGGGUCUAAUACCGGAUAGGACGAUGGUUUGGAUGCCAUUGUGGAAAGUUUUUUCGGUGUGGGAUGAGCUCGCGGCCUAUCAGCUUGUUGGUGGGGUAAUGGCCUACCAAGGCGUCGACGGGUAGCCGGCCUGAGAGGGUGUACGGACACAUUGGGACUGAGAUACGGCCCAGACUCCUACGGGAGGCAGCAGUGGGGAAUAUUGCACAAUGGGCGCAAGCCUGAUGCAGCGACGACGCGUGGGGGAUGACGGCCUUCGGGUUGUAAACUCCUUUCGCUAGGGACGAAGCGUUUUUGUGACGGUACCUGGAGAAGAAGCACCGGCUAACUACGUG